This 579-nucleotide ribosomal RNA is filed under the name Zhuliangomyces ochraceoluteus. RNAcentral describes it as "eukaryotic LSU rRNA". It matches the Rfam family "Eukaryotic large subunit ribosomal RNA", at positions 82 to 643 of the family's 3401-position model. Lineage: Eukaryota; Fungi; Basidiomycota; Agaricomycetes; Agaricales; Amanitaceae. The record is from RNAcentral.
AGUAACUGCGAGUGAAGCGGGAAAAGCUCAAAUUUAAAAUCUGGCAGUCUUUGGCUGUCCGAGUUGUAAUCUAGAGAAGUGUUAUCCGUGCUGGACCGUGUAAAAGUCUCCUGGAAUGGAGCGUCAUAGAGGGUGAGAAUCCCGUCUUUGACACGGACUCCCAGUACAUUGUGAUGCGCUCUCAAAGAGUCGAGUUGUUUGGGAAUGCAGCUCAAAAUGGGUGGUAAAUUCCAUCUAAAGCUAAAUAUUGGCGAGAGACCGAUAGCGAACAAGUACCGUGAGGGAAAGAUGAAAAGAACUUUGGAAAGAGAGUUAAACAGUACGUGAAAUUGUUGAAAGGGAAACGCUUGAAGUCAGUCGCACUGGCCAGGGAUCAACUUAACUUUUUUGUUGAGUGUACUUUCUGGUUAGUGGGUCAGCAUCAAUUUUGACCAUUGGAAAAAGGCUAAGGGAAUGUGGCACCUCUUGGUGUGUUAUAGCCCUAGUUGUAUACAGUGGUUGGGAUUGAGGAACUCAGCACGCCGCAAGGCCGGGUUUUUAACCACGUUCGUGCUUAGGAUGCUGGCAUAAUGGCUUUAA